GAUGAAGAACGCAGCGAAAUGCGAUAAGUAGUGUGAAUUGCAGAAUUCAGUGAAUCAUCGAAUCUUUGAACGCUCAUUGCGCCCCUUGGUAUUCCAUGGGGCAUGCCUGUUCGAGCGUCAUUUGUACCUUCAAGCUCUGCUUGGUGUUGGGUGUUUGUCCUUGCUCUAGUGGCGGGACUCGCCUUAAAGUAAUUGGCAGCCAGUGUUUUGGUUUUGAAGCGCAGCACAAGUCGCGAUUCAAGUCUAUACGCUAGUUUCCACAAGUCUUUUAUCACUUUUGACCUCGGAUCAGGUAGGGAUACCCGCUGAACUUAAGCAUAUCAAUGAGCGGAGGA
RNAcentral lists this unclassified non-coding RNA (335 nucleotides) under soil metagenome. RNAcentral's name for it is "partial contains 5.8S ribosomal RNA, internal transcribed spacer 2, and large subunit ribosomal RNA". The stretch from base 1 to 120 matches the Rfam family "5.8S ribosomal RNA", at positions 35 to 154 of the family's 154-position model. The record is from RNAcentral.